RNAcentral lists this ribosomal RNA (335 nucleotides) under uncultured bacterium. Its description in RNAcentral is "partial 16S ribosomal RNA". It matches the Rfam family "Bacterial small subunit ribosomal RNA", at positions 338 to 690 of the family's 1533-position model. The record is from RNAcentral.
CCUACGGGUGGCAGCAGUGGGGGAUAUUGCACAAUGGGGGGAACCCUGAUGCAGCGACGCCGCGUGGGUGAAGAAGCGCCUCGGCGCGUAAAGCCCUGUCAGCAGGGAAGAAAAUGACGGUACCUGAAGAAGAAGCCCCGGCUAACUACGUGCCAGCAGCCGCGGUAAUACGUAGGGGGCAAGCGUUAUCCGGAUUUACUGGGGGUAAAGGGGGCGCAGACGGGGAUGCAAGCCAGGAGUGAAAGCCCGGGGCCCAACCCCGGGACUGCUCCUGGAAAUUGGUGGCUGGAGUGCAGGAGGGGCAGGCGGAAUUCCUGGUGGAGCGGGGAAAAGGG